RNAcentral lists this ribosomal RNA (253 nucleotides) under uncultured bacterium. RNAcentral's name for it is "partial 16S ribosomal RNA". It matches the Rfam family "Bacterial small subunit ribosomal RNA", at positions 524 to 776 of the family's 1533-position model. The record is from RNAcentral.
UACAGAGGGGGCAAGCGUUGUUCGGAAUUACUGGGCGUAAAGGGCGCGUAGGCGGCCUGUUAAGUCGAGCGUGAAAUCCCCGGGCUCAACCCGGGAACUGCGUCCGAUACUGGCAGGCUUGAAUCCGGGAGAGGGAUGCGGAAUUCCAGGUGUAGCGGUGAAAUGCGUAGAUAUCUGGAGGAACACCGGUGGCGAAGGCGGCAUCCUGGACCGGCAUUGACGCUGAGGCGCGAAAGCCAGGGGAGCAAACGGG